This 66-nucleotide transfer RNA is filed under the name Pantodon buchholzi (freshwater butterflyfish). RNAcentral describes it as "tRNA-Cys". The record is from RNAcentral. Lineage: Eukaryota; Metazoa; Chordata; Actinopteri; Osteoglossiformes; Pantodontidae.
AGCCUUGUAGUGUAAUGCAUAUCGGAUUGCAAAUCUGAAGGGGCAAUUUAGUAGUUGCCGGGGCUU